This 223-nucleotide unclassified non-coding RNA is filed under the name uncultured Nocardiaceae bacterium. RNAcentral's name for it is "contains 16S-23S intergenic spacer region". Lineage: Bacteria; Bacillati; Actinomycetota; Actinomycetes; Mycobacteriales; Nocardiaceae. The record is from RNAcentral.
UCCGAGUUGACCCCGGCAGUCUCCUGCGAGUCCCCGCCAUUACGCGCUGGCAACACAGGACAAGGGUUGCGCUCGUUGCGGGACUUAACCCAACAUCUCACGACACGAGCUGACGACAGCCAUGCACCACCUGUAUACCGACCACAAGGGGGGCCGUAUCUCUACGGCUUUCCGGUAUAUGUCAAACCCAGGUAAGGUGGGGAUGACGUGCCGCAACUAACCA